UGGUGAGCCCAGUGUAAUCACAUGAGCCCUUAGAAGCAGAAGAGGAAGGCAGAAAAGUCAGUCAGGGAGAUGUAGCUGGAAAGAUGAGGCGGAGGGAGAGGUGAGAGAGAUUUGAAGCAUGAGAAAGCCUGACUUGCUGUUGCUAGCUUUGAUGAUGGAGGAAGGGAAUCAUGAGCUAGGACUGGAGUGGCCUCUAGAAGCUGCUGAGACUGACCCCAUGGAAACAGGGACCUCCAUCCUACUGACACGGGCCAACCCCAAAAGUGGGGCUCAGCCAGGGAAGAUUCUUGGCUUCACUCAGGAAAGAAUUCAAGAGGGAGCUGACAGUGAAAGAAAACAAAUUUAUUAGAGCAAUAGUGUACAGCAAAAUGGCUGCUCCAUAGAGGGCACAGGGCUAUCUCAUAG
This 405-nucleotide long non-coding RNA is filed under the name Homo sapiens (human). RNAcentral describes it as "non-protein coding lnc-POLE4-2:1". Lineage: Eukaryota; Metazoa; Chordata; Mammalia; Primates; Hominidae. The record is from RNAcentral.